AAACCCUAAUCUCCAGUGUGAUGGUAUUUGGAGGUGGGGCCUUUGGGAGGUAACUGGGCUUGGAUGAGGUCAUGGGGGUGGAACUCAUGAUGGAAUUGGAGCCUUUACAAGGGAAUGAAGAGACAAGAGCUCUCUUUAUGCCACGUGAGGAUACAGCAAGGCCCCAAUCUGCAAGCCAGGAAGAGUCGUCACGAGAACCAGACCAUGCAGGAACUCUGAUCGUGGACAUUUCAACCUCCAGAACUGUGAUCCAGAAUGCAUAUGUAUCUUUGGAAGAAACUCUGAAGUAAAGGCCGGAAUAUUCUUUGUUUAAAACAUUAAAAACAAAACAGACCAAAGCAUCAAGCAAGAAGUUUCCUGGCAAUAAACUAAGCACAGCAUUAUUUUUUAAGGAACACAAAUUAAGUGUUCAACCUGUGGCAAAUUUGUACUUUCUCCCUGAAUUAUGUUGUUAUCAAAGAAAAAAAUUGGGAAGCAUGGCAAAAUAUCAUCAAAACUGAAACUAGAAUUAAACAAAACUAAAUUAAAAUGAAAUAAAAUGAUGUCCAUUCUUAAU
This 556-nucleotide long non-coding RNA is filed under the name Homo sapiens (human). RNAcentral's name for it is "HSALNT0101030". The stretch from base 267 to 506 matches the Rfam family "Highly up-regulated in liver cancer conserved region". The record is from RNAcentral. Lineage: Eukaryota; Metazoa; Chordata; Mammalia; Primates; Hominidae.